Sturnus vulgaris (Common starling) is the source of this 125-nucleotide non-coding RNA. The record is from RefSeq and is a predicted model, not a curated record. NCBI's taxonomy places the organism in Eukaryota, Metazoa, Chordata, Aves, Passeriformes, Sturnidae.
UCCUGGCCGCGGUGAUGUACGUCAAGAAGAAGCGCAGGUCCGACCGGCUGCGGCACCGGCUGCUGCCCAUGUACAGCUACGACCCGGCUGAGGAGCCGCCCGAGUCGGAGCAGGAGCUGCUGGUG